RNAcentral lists this long non-coding RNA (1376 nucleotides) under Dicentrarchus labrax (European seabass). RNAcentral describes it as "lncRNA (ENSDLAG00005034695.1)". The record is from RNAcentral. Lineage: Eukaryota; Metazoa; Chordata; Actinopteri; Moronidae.
AUGAUGACAGCAGUGGAAAAGCUGGUGAAGGAAACCUCCUGGUGGAAGAAGAGGAAUGACGGCAGUGAGGGAGUGAGAGAGAGACAAUCCCAGACCUGGAACCACAGAGUGUGUGCUGCUCUCCUGCUCUGCUCUCCAUUCUCCCGGCUCCAAUUUUUCAGGGGCUCUGUGGAUAUGGAGAGGGAUGUUACGAUUUCCAGGCCUCCCACUGUCACCUGAUAUGUAUGGAGAACAGAUCAGGUGAUUGGACAAGUCCACUUCCACACAGCUUCCCACCAGGGCUUCUGAGCCAAGUCUAUUUACUGUCUCAUUCAUGCCUGUUGUGAGGUCAUCUUUAUUCAGUUAGGGUCUCGCCAAGGAGUCAUGAAGCAAUCAAGAACGAUGCAAUGUUAAACUGGUUGGUCACACCAAAUGGCUGAUGAGCAAAUCUGCUUGGCCUUAAUGUCACUAUAUCUAUUCCCACAUCAAUGUGAUAAUUGUGUUCAAGGUGGACACUCGAGAGUAUGCUUUGCCUGUCUACACUGGUGGCCUAUUGCAUUGUAAGAGAAACGGGGAAGGGCAAAGGAGAGGCAGAGAGGGACAGAUAGAUGGAGGAAGGGAAGUAGACAGGGUUGAAGAGAUAGAGAGGGGCCCAUAUUGAGUGACACAGACUAUGGUUUGUGUUUUCUCGGUGGAGCAGAGAAGAUGCAGUCUAAAUGAAGCUUGCUGCAGCAUGGCGGUUUCUGCUUUAUCCUUGCACUGUGUGUGUGUGAGUGUGUGUGUGUGUGAGUGUGUAAAGGGGAAAUGACAGAGGCUUCUUUGAGUACUCAGAGGCCACUGUUCUCCCUCUGUUGUUUCAUGGUUAGAAUCAUUUGGGAGUAGUGCCAUUCUCCAUGCAAAACCCAUCUCCAAAGAUAACAGGAGGAUAAACAACACAGGUGAACAUGGAUAAAUACAGAUUAUGCAUCCACCUGAGUGGUAAAAACACGCUGUCACAAUUGAUCCACAAUGGGCGCCAGGAUGUGUUUAUCUAAUGGCACAUAAUCUGUUUGUGAGAGCUUGUUGGAACCACAGCAUUUGUAAGAGAGACUAUUUGUUUUCUUCUUUUUAUUUUCAUCUAAUUUGGAAGGACAUUAAAACCCUGUGGUGAUUUUGUGUCUCUGUCAGGGCAGUCUGUAGGACGAGGGCCUCCUCUUGUGUUCGGUGUGUAAAACUACAAAGACAAUGGGAGGGUUUGGCACAUUGGCUAUAUACUACGCAUUGAUAUGAUUUAUAACAUAGAGGGUAAAAUACUAUGCUCACUUCACUGAUUUUAAUAAAAAUGAGGAAAAACUGUUCUUGAAACUAUUAUAAGUCAAAUCAUUAUGGCCCAGUUGGAGCCAAGCAUUAAUAUUAAA